GGGGAUCCGGAGCUUCGGGCUUCGGCUCGACUCUCCCACCCUUUGUGAACGUACCUCUGUUGCUUUGGCGGCUCCGGCCGCCAAAGGACCUCCAAACUCCAGUCAGUAAACGCAGACGUCUGAUAAACAAGUUAAUAAACUAAAACUUUCAACAACGGAUCUCUUGGUUCUGGCAUCGAUGAAGAACGCAGCGAAAUGCGAUAAGUAAUGUGAAUUGCAGAAUUCAGUGAAUCAUCGAAUCUUUGAACGCACAUUGCGCCCCUUGGUAUUCCGGGGGGCAUGCCUGUUCGAGCGUCAUUACAACCCUCAAGCUCUGCUUGGAAUUGGGCACCGUCCUCACUGCGGACGCGCCUCAAAGACCUCGGCGGUGGCUGUUCAGCCCUCAAGCGUAGUAGAAUACACCUCGCUUUGGAGUGGUUGGCGUCGCCCGCCGGACGAACCUUCUGAACUUUUCUCAAGGUUGACCUCGGAUCAGGUAGGGAUACCCGCUGAACUUAAGCAUAUCAAAA
RNAcentral lists this ribosomal RNA (509 nucleotides) under Lasiodiplodia theobromae. RNAcentral's name for it is "eukaryotic LSU rRNA". The stretch from base 144 to 297 matches the Rfam family "5.8S ribosomal RNA". The record is from RNAcentral. Lineage: Eukaryota; Fungi; Ascomycota; Dothideomycetes; Botryosphaeriales; Botryosphaeriaceae.